RNAcentral lists this transfer RNA (68 nucleotides) under Hemisodorcus macleayii. RNAcentral describes it as "tRNA-Met". Lineage: Eukaryota; Metazoa; Arthropoda; Insecta; Coleoptera; Lucanidae. The record is from RNAcentral.
AAAUAGAUAAGCUAAAAAAGCUAUUAGGUUCAUACCCUACUCAUAAAGGUUUACCCCUUUUCUAUUUA